AUCAGAAUGACACACCUCCACACACAACUUCCAUACCCUUAACCACUGAACAUGAUUAUGAUCUUAGCUUUGACACUUCACCACACACCGAUGUCCCUUGUGAGGAACAAAACCACAACACACAGUUAACUGAGCCUUACAUACUACGCCAUACUGACACAGUUCCUCACCCUAACAAUUCCACCAAAACCAGUAGGAGCAGACAUCCACCUGCUCAUAUUAAGGAUUAUGUAUGCAACACUUCAAGCAAUAAGUGCAUUCCUUCAUCUCUUACACUAUCCUAUA
Molecule: long non-coding RNA, 285 nt
Filed under: Lathyrus oleraceus (garden pea)
Lineage: Eukaryota; Viridiplantae; Streptophyta; Magnoliopsida; Fabales; Fabaceae
Description: Pisum sativum (pea) long non-coding RNA (PSAT_LNC007347)
Source: RNAcentral